UACGUAGGGACCGAGCGUUGUCCGGAAUCAUUGGGCGUAAAGAGCGUGUAGGCGGCUUGGAAGGUCAGCUGUGAAAACUCGAGGCUCAACCUCGAGACGUCGGUUGAAACCACCUGGCUAGAGUCCGGAAGAGGAGAGUGGAAUUCCCGGUGUAGCGGUGAAAUGCGCAGAUAUCGGGAGGAACACCAGUGGCGAAGGCGGCUUCCUGGACCGGUUCUGACACUGAGGAGCGAAAGCGUGGGGAGCGAUCCGG
RNAcentral lists this ribosomal RNA (253 nucleotides) under uncultured bacterium. RNAcentral describes it as "partial 16S ribosomal RNA". It matches the Rfam family "Bacterial small subunit ribosomal RNA", at positions 524 to 776 of the family's 1533-position model. The record is from RNAcentral.